RNAcentral lists this ribosomal RNA (464 nucleotides) under uncultured bacterium. Its description in RNAcentral is "bacterial SSU rRNA". It matches the Rfam family "Bacterial small subunit ribosomal RNA", at positions 917 to 1382 of the family's 1533-position model. The record is from RNAcentral.
GGGCCCGCACAAGCAGCGGAGCAUGUGGUUUAAUUCGAAGCAACGCGAAGAACCUUACCAGGGCUUGACAUCCCUUGAAGUGCAUAGAAAUAUGUACGCCCUUCGGGGCAAGGAGACAGGUGGUGCAUGGUUGUCGUCAGCUCGUGUCGUGAGAUGUUGGGUUAAGUCCCGCAACGAGCGCAACCCUUAUGGUUAGUUGCCAGCACGAAAGGUGGGAACUCUAAUCAGACUGCCGGGGAUAACUCGGAGGAAGGUGGGGACGACGUCAAAUCAUCAUGCCCCUUAUGCCCUGGGCUACACACGUGCUACAAUGGCCGGUACAAAGAGCAGCGAAGCCGCGAGGUGGAGCGAAUCUCGAUAAAACCGGUCUCAGUUCGGAUCGUGGGCUGCAACCCGCCCACGUGAAGCCGGAGUUGCUAGUAAUCGCGAAUCAGCAUGUCGCGGUGAAUGCGUUCCCGGGCCUU